Molecule: long non-coding RNA, 3333 nt
Filed under: Daucus carota (carrot)
Lineage: Eukaryota; Viridiplantae; Streptophyta; Magnoliopsida; Apiales; Apiaceae
Description: long non-coding RNA (DCAR_LNC000604)
Source: RNAcentral
GGUUCGCUUUUAGCAAGAGCUGUUUCGCUAAAUCAACUGAGAUCACGCCUGCGCUGCAUCCCAUCCCACCAAGAUUGAAGCUCUUAAUAUCGCUCCUCAGCUUGUAAUGGUUCACGAUCAUGGAGGUCAGAGACGGAGUCGGAUUAAACAAGCUACAAUUCACUAUCAGAAUACCGAUAUCAUUCGGUUUAAGGCCAGUUGUCUGAAAUAGAGAGUCGAGUGCUCCAAACAUAACCGCCUCAGCCUCAGCGCGCGCCUCCGCCAUGUUCAAAUUAGGCGGCCUGGAAGUAAUUCCCGCGGGCAAAUAAGUCUCGUCGCCUAGCCCAGACCGCAUAGCCAAGCGUCUUUGAAACUGAACCAUCUCCUCACCAAAUUCACCGCAAUCAUCACUCAUCUUUAUAAACGCUUCAUUCGACAUUUUUCUCGCAUCUUCGGGUUUAUAACACGCGAAGUCGACGAGAUAAAUAGGCCGGGGCCUCUUGGCCCAGUAAACUCCGAGUAAAAACAAGAACAGGAUCGCCAGAGAAGCCAUGACCGCAGUAUCGAGCGUCUCGAGAAUGGGGCUGCUCCAGGCCCGGAUCUGAGGGUGGUGAAACGAGAAGUCAUUGGCGGUUAAAUGAGUGGCGAGGAACAGAGGCAGAACCACCACAAGAAGAAACACGAGAAGCGCGGCGACGGGGUUAAAACGGUACCCCGUGCCGUAUCCCAGCUUGACGUAUUUGAGCUUAACGGACUGGAGAAAGUCCGGGAGGCGUUGCUUGAUCUUGAUCACUACCGACGACGAGUCUUUCACGGCCAACUCUGCUGUUAAUCUCUCCUGUUUCAUGUCUAUAUUAUUGCUAGUACUAGUACUUGGACCAGGACUAGCCAUUGUUAUAUAAAAAAAUAACAACAAUGUCUCUUACAAUGAAGAAAAAGCUGGGUGUAUUGGUUAGAGUAGGUUGGGGGAUAAUGAAUGUGGCGAAGAGGGAGAUGAAAUAUAUAGAGAGAGGGUGGCAAGGAAGGUGAGGAGGCACACAGUAGCAGACUAGCUGGAGCUGGAUGGAAUGGGAGUCAUUAAGAAGAUGGGUGAGGGGAUUGGAUGAUGAAUGUGGUUAGUCUUGAAUUGCAUUCAUAAUACGGGUGAUACCAAUUAAUGGGAUUGGCCACACUUCAUCUAAGCGAACAUACUUUGGUAUUAACACAACACAGCCGAUGGCUUUUAUACAGAUAUGGAGACAAUGACCUGCGUAAUUGCAUUCUUUUAUCCUAUGCAAUACUAUUACCUUUUGUUUUCGCUUCUUUUUUUCCCCCCACUGUUUGAUUGGAAUAUGUUUCUUCAUCUAUCUAUUAGAAAAAUCAGUAGUCUCCUGCGUGGGUUAAAUGAGUCAAAGUGUUCCUGAGCUAUUACAACUCGGAUCGUCCUAAAAAUAAGUAAUAGAACUAUACUUUACGGGAGCAUUAAGGUCCGUACCGCGUACCCGUCCCCCAAUGUAUAUAACUCAGGGGGACGGAGGGAGUAUAUUUUUCCUAUAAAAUUAUAUAAAUAAAUAAGAUAUUUUUUUUAUUCGGUUCGGUUCGGUUUUUUCAGUUCGAUUUUCACUUAAAACUAAAACCACAUCUAAUACAAUCAGUUUUGUUUUAAAAUUUUUGAUUUCGAUUUGGCUCAGUUUUUGUCGGUUUUUACCGGUGUCUGGGUUUAGUUUCAGUUUGAAUUCUGUAUAUUACUCACCCUUGUAGACAAUCAAGCUCUGGGUUACAUCAUCCCUUGACAAAAAAUCUUUGUUUACGGGGACAAUUUCUCAACAUCCAUAUAUGAUUAUACGUAUGAGAUGAAUUAAUCUUUCCUAUACGUAAAAUCUUGCAGAAUCUAGCAUGACCUCUCCUAAUCUUUACUUAUAAGGUGAUCAAUUUUGUUAGUUUUCCGACAAGGUAUUAAGUAGGAUCUCUAUCUUGUGUACACGAAAGUAAGAAGAAAGCAUUUAAAAGCUAGCGUCUACAGUAGACUUCAACAUUGCUAGAAACAGUUGGGGCAAUACAUCAUUAAAUAUAUUUCAAUAUCAUCAUCUGCUACUAGCUUCACACUUGCAACAAUCAAUUUGAUUAAUUGUCAAUUGCGCGCUAUUCAAACCAUGCAUUUACAUCAAAUUUGGUUGGAAAGUGCAUUUGCAUGUGCACGAACCGCAGUAGCAUAUUUACUUUUAGUAGGAGGAAAACAGAUGAACACACAGUAAUUAAUCAGCAAUUGAAAACAAUAAUAAUUUUCACGUAUAUACGGCCAGGAUGUGAAUGUAUAAGACUAUAGAGCCUGCAUUGUGGCCGGGGAUUCGGCUUUGAUGGGAUAACAGUUAAUGGAAUCAGCCCAGGGAUUGUUCUGGCUCUGCGAGGCCGGAAUGUUCCUCAAGGCCCUCCAAACAGCGCUGUUACACUUGAAUCCUGAUCCGAAGGCAAUCUGCCAGACUCGAUCCCCGCCCAAAACUCUCCCUUUGGCCUCCGAGUAGGCCAAUUCGUACCAUAAUGAACUGCUGGAGGUAUUGCCAAAGCGGUGGAGUGUCAUUCUCGAGGGCUCCAUAUGCCAAUCUCCGAGCUGCAAAUUCUUCUGCACCUGAUCAAGCACUCCCCUUCCUCCCGCGUGUAUGCAGAAAUGCUCAAACGCCAGCUUGAAAUCCGGUAUAUAAGGCUUCACAUUGGCCUUAAACACUUUCUUUCGUACCAAAGUGAGGAAAAACAUCAAUUGUUCGGUGAACGGAAGCACCAGAGGCCCCAAUGUGGUUAUAUUAGUCUUGAGUGCAUCUCCGGCCACAGCCAUUAGUUCACGGGCAAGGGAAACACCGAUGGUGCCCUGAUCAUCCUCUCUCUGAUACACGCAAUUGUAACAACGAUCAUCUGCACCUUUAUGAGUCCGGACAGUGUGAACCAGCUCAUACUUUGACCGCGCCCUGUCACGGGGCUUGUUGGAGAGCAACAAGGCCGCGCCCCCCAUUCGGAACAGACAAUUACAAAGAAGCAUCGACUUGUCAUUACCGAAAUACCAAUUAAGCGUAAUGUUCUCAGUACUCACAACCACAGCAUACGAGUUAGGGUUCGCUUUUAGCAAGAGCUGUUUCGCUAAAUCAACUGAGAUCACGCCUGCGCUGCAUCCCAUCCCACCAAGAUUGAAGCUCUUAAUAUCGCUCCUCAGCUUGUAAUGGUUCACGAUCAUGGAGGUCAGAGACGGAGUCGGAUUAAACAAGCUACAAUUCACUAUCAGAAUACCGAUAUCAUUCGGUUUAAGGCCAGUUGUCUGAAAUAGAGAGUCGAGUGCUCCAAACAUAACCGCCUCAGCCUCAGCGCGCGCCUCCGCCAUGUUCAAAU